GGGGACUUAGCUCAGUGGUAGAGUGCUUGCCUAGCAACCGCAAGGCCCUGGGUUCAGUCCCCA
RNAcentral lists this transfer RNA (63 nucleotides) under Rattus norvegicus (Norway rat). It matches the Rfam family "tRNA". From Rfam's summary of the family: Transfer RNA (tRNA) molecules are approximately 80 nucleotides in length. Their secondary structure includes four short double-helical elements and three loops (D, anti-codon, and T loops). Further hydrogen bonds mediate the characteristic L-shaped molecular structure. tRNAs have two regions of fundamental functional importance: the anti-codon, which is responsible for specific mRNA codon recognition, and the 3' end, to which the tRNAs corresponding amino acid is attached (by aminoacyl-tRNA synthetases). tRNAs cope with the degeneracy of the genetic code in two manners: having more than one tRNA (with a specific anti-codon) for a particular amino acid; and 'wobble' base-pairing, i.e. permitting non-standard base-pairing at the 3rd anti-codon position. Lineage: Eukaryota; Metazoa; Chordata; Mammalia; Rodentia; Muridae. The record is from Rfam by way of RNAcentral.